Non-coding RNA from Pongo pygmaeus (Bornean orangutan), 595 nucleotides. Lineage: Eukaryota; Metazoa; Chordata; Mammalia; Primates; Hominidae. The record is from the annotation of a RefSeq genome assembly.
AACCACAUCCCUCCUCUAAAGAAGCACCUGGGAGCACAGCUCAUCACCAUGGACUGGACCUGGAGGUUCCUCUUUGUGGUGGCAGCAGCUACGGGUGUCCAGUCCCAGGUCCAGCUGGUGCAGUCUGGGGCUGAGGUGAAGAAGCCUGGGUCCUCAGUGAAGAUCUCCUGCAAGGUUUCUGAAGACACCUUCAGCAGCUAUGCUAUCAGCUGGGUGCGACAGGCCCCUGGACAAGGGCUUGAGUGGAUGGGAGUGAUCAUUCCUGUUGCUGGUAUAACAAACUACGCACAGAAGUUUCAGGGCAGAGUCACGAUUACUGCGGACACAUCCACGAGCACAGCCCACAUGGAGCUGAGCAGCCUGAGAUCUGAGGACACGGCCGUGUAUUACUGUGCAACAGACACAGUGUGACAACCCACAUCCUGAGAGUGUCAGAAACCCUGAGGAAGGAGGCAGCUGUACUGGGGCUGAGGAGAUGACAGGAUUUAUGAGGUUUAAACGUAUUUAGAAAGUGGGUUAAGUAAUUGAGUAAAACAGCAAUGGAAAGAUGUGUACACUGUCAUUAUGUAGGAAGUAGUAUUUUCUACUGUCACCC